This 455-nucleotide ribosomal RNA is filed under the name Streptococcus sp. oral taxon C56. Its description in RNAcentral is "bacterial SSU rRNA". It matches the Rfam family "Bacterial small subunit ribosomal RNA", at positions 28 to 469 of the family's 1533-position model. Lineage: Bacteria; Bacillati; Bacillota; Bacilli; Lactobacillales; Streptococcaceae. The record is from RNAcentral.
GACGAACGCUGGCGGCGUGCCUAAUACAUGCAAGUAGAACGCUGAAGGAGGAGCUUGCUCUUCUGGAUGAGUUGCGAACGGGUGAGUAACGCGUAGGUAACCUGCCUGGUAGUGGGGGAUAACUAUUGGAAACGAUAGCUAAUACCGCAUAAUAACAGUUGUUGCAUGACAACUGUUUGAAAGGUGCAAUUGCAUCACUACCAGAUGGACCUGCGUUGUAUUAGCUAGUUGGUGGGGUAACGGCUCACCAAGGCGACGAUACAUAGCCGACCUGAGAGGGUGAUCGGCCACACUGGGACUGAGACACGGCCCAGACUCCUACGGGAGGCAGCAGUAGGGAAUCUUCGGCAAUGGACGGAAGUCUGACCGAGCAACGCCGCGUGAGUGAAGAAGGUUUUCGGAUCGUAAAGCUCUGUUGUAAGAGAAGAACGAGUGUGAGAGUGGAAAGUUCACAC